AGAAAACGGUAAGAAUUAAAAUUACUGACCGUUAGAUAAUCGAUUAUUGAACUGAAAUAAUCGAUUGUAUUUACUGUUUGAUUGAGAUUUUGAAUCUGAUAAAUCGAUUCUUGAGUCAAACGGUAAAAAAUUUGAAUGAAAUAAUCGAUUGUUAGGUUUUGGUAAUCGAUUAUGGAGCAUUUAAGACCUGACAGGAAUCGAUU
This 203-nucleotide long non-coding RNA is filed under the name Nicotiana benthamiana. RNAcentral describes it as "long non-coding RNA (NBEN_LNC018645)". Lineage: Eukaryota; Viridiplantae; Streptophyta; Magnoliopsida; Solanales; Solanaceae. The record is from RNAcentral.